RNAcentral lists this ribosomal RNA (244 nucleotides) under uncultured bacterium. RNAcentral describes it as "partial 16S ribosomal RNA". It matches the Rfam family "Bacterial small subunit ribosomal RNA", at positions 15 to 254 of the family's 1533-position model. The record is from RNAcentral.
GAUCCUGGCUCAGGACGAACGCUGGCGGCGCGCCCAACACAUGCAAGUCGAACGAGCGAGAGAGAGCUUGCUUUCUUGAGCGAGUGGCGAACGGGUGAGUAACGCGUGAGGAACCUGCCUCAAAGAGGGGGACAACAGUUGGAAACGACUGCUAAUACCGCAUAAGCCCACGACCCGGCAUCGGGUAGAGGGAAAAGGAGCAAUCCGCUUUGAGAUGGCCUCGCGUCCGAUUAGCUAGUUGGUG